UCUAAAUUUUUUUUUUUUUUUUUUUUUUAUUUAAAUUUUUAUUCGAAAUUUUAUUUAAACAGGACGCAUGCUAACACUGCAA
RNAcentral lists this non-coding RNA (82 nucleotides) under Euplotes harpa. Lineage: Eukaryota; Ciliophora; Spirotrichea; Euplotida; Euplotidae. The record is from RNAcentral.